RNAcentral lists this ribosomal RNA (232 nucleotides) under uncultured bacterium. RNAcentral describes it as "partial 16S ribosomal RNA". It matches the Rfam family "Bacterial small subunit ribosomal RNA", at positions 335 to 586 of the family's 1533-position model. The record is from RNAcentral.
ACUCCUACGGGAGGCAGCAGUGGGAAUCUUAGACAAUGGGGCAACCCGUGAUCUAGCCAUGCCGCGUGAGUGAUGAAGGCCUUAGGGUCGUAAAGCUCUUUCGCCAGGGAUGAUAAUGACAGUACCUGGUAAAGAAACCCCGCGUACUCCGUGCCAGCAGCCGCGGUAAUACGGAGGGGGUUAGCGUUGUUCGGAAUUACUGGGCGUAAAGCGCGCGUAGGCGGAUCAGAAA